This 301-nucleotide ribosomal RNA is filed under the name uncultured bacterium. RNAcentral's name for it is "partial 16S ribosomal RNA". It matches the Rfam family "Bacterial small subunit ribosomal RNA", at positions 509 to 807 of the family's 1533-position model. The record is from RNAcentral.
CAGCAGCCGCGGUAAUACGAAGGGGGCUAGCGUUGUUCGGAUUUACUGGGCGUAAAGGGCGCGUAGGCGGGCGAAUAAGUCAGGGGUGAAAUCCCAAGGCUCAACCUUGGAACUGCCUUUGAUACUGUUUGUCUUGAGUUCGAGAGAGGUAAGUGGAACUGCGAGUGUAGAGGUGAAAUUCGUAGAUAUUCGCAAGAACACCAGUGGCGAAGGCGGCUUACUGGCUCGAAACUGACGCUGAGGCGCGAAAGCGUGGGGAGCAAACAGGAUUAGAGACCCGGGUAGUCCCUGUCUCUUAUAC